RNAcentral lists this microRNA (20 nucleotides) under Brachypodium distachyon (stiff brome). Its description in RNAcentral is "bdi-miR1122". Lineage: Eukaryota; Viridiplantae; Streptophyta; Magnoliopsida; Poales; Poaceae. The record is from miRBase by way of RNAcentral.
UAGAUACAUCCGUAUUUGGA